UCGGUUGUUGCGAUCGUAGAUGUCCACUUCUUGUGUGCCUGAUUGGAUGUCCGGGACGUAGGGAGCUGUCUGUGUGUUUGUGCCGGUCAGAGUCCUAACCGUUCGCCCUUAUCAACGCAAGACGCCGUCACCUGUUCGAAUCCUCUAGCCAGCUACAUACACACCAGCUCAGAUUGCCAAGCUACCUCUGUUCCACCGAAAGCGCAUCCUCUACAGCUGCGCCAUCUGCAAAUGCACUCACACCGGUGCCAAUCGCCACCCUAUCCUUACGAAUCCUGCCG
Molecule: long non-coding RNA, 281 nt
Filed under: Volvox carteri
Lineage: Eukaryota; Viridiplantae; Chlorophyta; Chlorophyceae; Chlamydomonadales; Volvocaceae
Description: long non-coding RNA (VCAR_LNC001385)
Source: RNAcentral